This 460-nucleotide ribosomal RNA is filed under the name uncultured bacterium. RNAcentral describes it as "partial 16S ribosomal RNA". It matches the Rfam family "Bacterial small subunit ribosomal RNA", at positions 338 to 795 of the family's 1533-position model. The record is from RNAcentral.
CCUACGGGAGGCAGCAGUGAGGAAUAUUUGUCAAUGGACGAGAGUCUGAACCAGCCAAGUAGCGUGAAGGAUGACUGCCCUAUGGGUUGUAAACUUCUUUUAUAUGGGAAUAAAAUGUUCCACGUGUGGGAUUUUGUAUGUACCAUAUGAAUAAGGAUCGGCUAACUCCGUGCCAGCAGCCGCGGUAAUACGGAGGAUCCGAGCGUUAUCCGGAUUUAUUGGGUUUAAAGGGAGCGUAGGUGGAUUGUUAAGUCAGUUGUGAAAGUUUGCGGCUCAACCGUAAAAUUGCAGUUGAAACUGGCAGUCUUGAGUACAGUAGAGGUGGGCGGAAUUCGUGGUGUAGCGGUGAAAUGCUUAGAUAUCACGAAGAACUCCGAUUGCGAAGGCAGUUCACUGGACUGCAACUGACACUGAGGCUCGAAAGUGUGGGUAUCAAACAGGAUUAGAUACCCGUGUAGUC